GAUGAACGCUGACAGAAUGCUUAACACAUGCAAGUCUUUGGUGAAGCUGUGCUUGCACAGCCUAGCCAAGGCGGACGGGUGAGUAACGCGUAAGGAACUUGCCCUGCAGUCAGGGAUAACAGACGGAAACGACUGAUAAGACCUGGUAAAGUCAGGCGGACUCAUGUCCAGCCUGAUGAAAAGAGAUGCUGCAGGAGAGCCUUGCGUCCUAUUAGCUUGUUGGUGGGGUAACGGCCCACCAAGGCAAUGAUAGGUAGCCGGCCUGAGAGGGUGGACGGCCACAAGGGGACUGAGAUACGGCCCUUACUCCUACGGGAGGCAGCAGUGGGGAAUAUUGGACAAUGGGGGCAACCCUGAUCCAGCAAUUCUGUGUGCACGAUGAAGGUCUUCGGAUUGUAAAGUGCUUUCAGCAGGGAAGAAAAAAAUGACGGUACCUGCAGAAGAAGCGACGGCUAAAUACGUG
This 463-nucleotide ribosomal RNA is filed under the name uncultured bacterium. Its description in RNAcentral is "partial 16S ribosomal RNA". It matches the Rfam family "Bacterial small subunit ribosomal RNA", at positions 28 to 507 of the family's 1533-position model. The record is from RNAcentral.